Unclassified non-coding RNA from Bison bison bison, 169 nucleotides. The record is from Ensembl. Lineage: Eukaryota; Metazoa; Chordata; Mammalia; Artiodactyla; Bovidae.
AUAACAAACCUGAAGUUUGCAACUCCUCUUUAUUAAGAAAAGAAACCCAGCAGCAAGGGCAGUGACGAGCUUCAACCAUAAUAGCUGUGUCCCAACCCUGUCCUGGAGUUUCUUGUUCCAGGAGUGAAUGAAUAAUUUAAUCUUCAUGAGCCAUCAAUUCCAGUCCUCC